AUGCUCAUAAGUGGAGCAGAAACAAGCAGUUCAGAUGUUCCAGUCGCCAUUCAAACAUGUGAGAGAGUCCAGCCAGAGUCAGCGAAGAAAACUAGUUCACCUGCAGCUGACUUCAGGAGUCUAAGUGAGAGUGAGAACACAGAGCCCAGCUCAGUUUCCCCAAAAGCAGAUACUGAGGCAAGAAUUUUGCAACAAAGAUUUGGUGAAGAAUUUAGAUUGGCAUAUAAAGUACCUCCCGAAAUAAUAAUUAAACAAAAGCUAUAUAAGGUAAGCAAACAGAGUUUAAUUUACUUAGAGCAUCAAGAGAAAACACUACAUAGACAGCUUUGAAGUGGGAUAUCAUUGGGGAAAUGAGUGUACAAUAUUUAUGACUUUAUGGUUUGGACUCGAAGGAUGUUUGUAUGUGACCUCAGAAGGAGAUAAGAUUUUAUAUUGAUCAAUUUCUUCAGAACAACAGUCUAGUGCAGUCUAGCAAGGAUCUGAGCAAAGAAGAAUGUGUACUCAAGUCACAAGACCUUUUGUGGUAAUUGCAUAACUCAUAAGAGUAAUUUUUAAAUUCCCAGAAUUGCAUAACCAAUGGGAGUGGUUGUUUUGGUUCUCCCACAGAAAGAAGGAAAACCGCACAAAUAGACAGAAAGGAGAUGAGGCUUUGUGCUCAGAAAGGUGACUGCUGCUGUGGCUUCGCUGUGGCUCUUAGGGAAUGUCAGACGUGACCUCCUUCAGAAGUAAUGUGUAUUCUGUAGGGUCGCACAGCCUGAGGACCCAUUGAGAGCAUUGUAUUCAACGUGGCACGUAACAUGUUACAGUUACUCUGUGAGAUAAUGUCAGUGGAAUACCAUGGACAGAAAACCUUGAGUAAUCACAUUGCACAGACAUUCCAUUAUAGAUCUACAGUUUGAAAAUCAGGCUCAGAUUAUAGUUAAGGGGGGAAAACAAAUACUGAAUCAAACGAAGUCUUGAAAGUCAGGGGAAGAAAGGCUGAUUCUCAGAUGACUAACACCCACUUCAACAAUGAGGAUUUUGACAUAAAGACACGGUUAAAGAAAAAAAGUACAUUUUGCAAGCAUUUUAUAAAUAAAAUCUGUGAAAUAAAACAUCAUAUGUCAGAAAAAGUGGGCCAAUGUUUUGUCAAUGCAAAGAUUAAAAUUAAAGAAUAAGUUUUAAUAAGAACUGGAAUCACAAAUAAUAAAUAGGCAAAUCUGAAAAAUUCUUAAUUUCAUAUGAUUCUGAAGAUUGGUCUAAAGCUUGUGUGCAAUCAUAAUAACCUUCUUUGAGGGAAUCCUCCAUUGCAGAGCUCCCAUUAAGGUAAAAAACACUUGACUAUAUCAUUAAGAUAUGAAAUAGCCCAUGGAAGAGUUUACCAGAGGAAGAAUUAGCACAAGAACAUAAAAAGAUCCCCCUCAAAUAUUUCCUUCUUCAUACAUAGGGAUAAAAGUGGAGUAGAAGUUUUAAAAGAAAUAAUAAAAACACAUAAUUAAAUCUUCCAUAUAACAUGUUGCAUGGUGCACU
Molecule: long non-coding RNA, 1509 nt
Organism: Papio anubis (olive baboon)
Lineage: Eukaryota; Metazoa; Chordata; Mammalia; Primates; Cercopithecidae
Source: Ensembl